Molecule: transfer-messenger RNA, 304 nt
Filed under: Klebsiella pneumoniae
Lineage: Bacteria; Pseudomonadati; Pseudomonadota; Gammaproteobacteria; Enterobacterales; Enterobacteriaceae
Rfam family: transfer-messenger RNA
About the family: Bacterial tmRNA, also known as 10Sa RNA or SsrA, is named for its dual tRNA and mRNA-like properties. Its role is to liberate the mRNA from a stalled ribosome. To accomplish this part of the tmRNA is used as a reading frame that ends in a translation stop signal.
Source: RNAcentral
GGGGCUGAUUCUGGAUUCGACGGGAUUUGCGAAACCCAAGGUGCAUGCCGAGGGGCGGUUGGCCUCGUAAAAAGCCGCAAAAAAUAGUCGCAAACGACGAAAACUACGCUUUAGCAGCUUAAUAACCUGCUCUGAGCCCUCUCUCCCUAGCUUCCGCUCUUAAGACGGGGAUCAAAGUAAUCAGGCUAGUUUGUUAGUGGCGUGUCUGUCCGCAGCUGGCAAGCGAAUGUAAAGACUGACUAAGCAUGUAGUGCCGAGGAUGUAGGAAUUUCGGACGCGGGUUCAACUCCCGCCAGCUCCACCA